Molecule: ribosomal RNA, 380 nt
Filed under: Klebsiella pneumoniae
Lineage: Bacteria; Pseudomonadati; Pseudomonadota; Gammaproteobacteria; Enterobacterales; Enterobacteriaceae
Description: bacterial LSU rRNA
Rfam family: Bacterial large subunit ribosomal RNA
Source: RNAcentral
GGGGAACUGAAACAUCUAAGUACCCCGAGGAAAAGAAAUCAACCGAGAUUCCCCCAGUAGCGGCGAGCGAACGGGGAGCAGCCCAGAGUCUGAAUCAGCUUGUGUGUUAGUGGAACGGUCUGGAAAGUCCGACGGUACAGGGUGAUAGUCCCGUACACCAAAAUGCACAGGCUGUGAACUCGAAGAGUAGGGCGGGACACGUGGUAUCCUGUCUGAAUAUGGGGGGACCAUCCUCCAAGGCUAAAUACUCCUGACUGACCGAUAGUGAACCAGUACCGUGAGGGAAAGGCGAAAAGAACCCCGGCGAGGGGAGUGAAAAGAACCUGAAACCGUGUACGUACAAGCAGUGGGAGCACCUUCGGGUGUGACUGCGUACCUUU